Molecule: ribosomal RNA, 254 nt
Filed under: uncultured bacterium
Lineage: Bacteria
Description: partial 16S ribosomal RNA
Rfam family: Bacterial small subunit ribosomal RNA
Source: RNAcentral
UACGUAGGGGGCGAGCGUUGUCCGGAUUUAUUGGGCGUAAAGAGCUCGUAGGCGGCUUGGCAAGUCGGGUGUGAAACCUCCAGGCUCAACCUGGAGACGCCACUCGAUACUGCUAUGGCUAGAGUCCGGUAGGGGACCACGGAAUUCCUGGUGUAGCGGUGAAAUGCGCAGAUAUCAGGAGGAACACCGGUGGCGAAGGCGGUGGUCUGGGCCGGCACUGACGCCGAGGAGCGAAAGCGUGGGUAGCAAACAGG